CUGCAGAUAUGAAACACAGAGAAUGCUAGAGAAAGUCAGUAGGCUUGGCAGCAUCUGCAGGGAGAGAAACAGCGUUAACAAUUUGAGUUUGAGGAAAAGGCCAGUUGACUAAUGGUACCAUCAAUCCUUACCAGGAUAAAACAGUUCCACCAUUUGCAGUCAAGCUCAAGAUGCAGGAGUUGGAAGAGGAAAAGCGUGCAGUUGAAAUGUUAAACGUGUGGGAGGCAGCAUCACCCCUGACAAAUUCUGUCAUUGGCAAUGAUGUGAAAAAAAAAAUAGGUUAAUAAAUACAUCUUGCAUGUCGCAUA
Molecule: long non-coding RNA, 308 nt
Organism: Stegostoma tigrinum
Lineage: Eukaryota; Metazoa; Chordata; Chondrichthyes; Orectolobiformes; Stegostomatidae
Exons: 3
Source: RefSeq, a predicted model, not a curated record